This 497-nucleotide ribosomal RNA is filed under the name uncultured bacterium. RNAcentral describes it as "partial 16S ribosomal RNA". It matches the Rfam family "Bacterial small subunit ribosomal RNA", at positions 28 to 507 of the family's 1533-position model. The record is from RNAcentral.
GAUGAACGCUGGCGGCGUGCCUAAUACAUGCAAGUCGAGCGAACAGACGAGGAGCUUGCUCCUCUGACGUUAGCGGCGGACGGGUGAGUAACACGUGGAUAACCUACCUAUAAGACUGGGAUAACUUCGGGAAACCGGAGCUAAUACCGGAUAAUAUAUUGAACCGCAUGGUUCAAUAGUGAAAGACGGUUUUGCUGUCACUUAUAGAUGGAUCCGCGCCGCAUUAGCUAGUUGGUAAGGUAACGGCUUACCAAGGCAACGAUGCGUAGCCGACCUGAGAGGGUGAUCGGCCACAAUGGAACUGAGACACGGUCCAGACUCCUACGGGAGGCAGCAGUAGGGAAUCUUCCGCAAUGGGCGAAAGCCUGACGGAGCAACGCCGCGUGAGUGAUGAAGGUAUUCGGAUCGUAAAACUCUGUUAUUAGGGAAGAACAAAUGUGUAAGUAACUAUGCACGUCUUGACGGUACCUAAUCAGAAAGCCACGGCUAACUACGUG